GAGGUGUCUUGAGAUUAUCAUCCGCUGAGGGUGGAGCUGAGGGUGGAAGGGGAGUGAGCAGACACUCGGGAGGUGUCUUGAGAUUAUCAUCCGCUGAGGGUGGAAGGGGAUAGAGCAGGCACUCGGCAGGUGUCUUGAGAUUAUCAUCCGCUGAGGGUAGAGCUGAGGGUGGAAGGGGAGUGAGCAGACACUCGGGAGGUGUCUUGAGAUUAUCAUCCGCUGAGGGUAGAGCUGAGGGUGGAAGGGGAGUGAGCAGACACUCGGGAGGUGUCUUGAGAUUAUCAUCCGCUGAGGGUGG
RNAcentral lists this long non-coding RNA (298 nucleotides) under Homo sapiens (human). RNAcentral describes it as "HSALNT0228369". Lineage: Eukaryota; Metazoa; Chordata; Mammalia; Primates; Hominidae. The record is from RNAcentral.